GAUGUUGAAUAAUAUAUAUUAUAGUUGUUUGGGAGUGAAAUUUUAAGUUAUUUAGUAGUUACAUGUUAUUUAAUUUUGUUUUAGAAGCUAUGAAAUUUUGGAUUUAAACUAGGAUUAGAUACCCUAUUAUACCAGGGAGAAAUUAUACGCACUUGAGUAGUAAUCAGUUAUGAUCUUGAAAUUUAAAGAAUUUGGCGGUAUUCAAGUCUAGUUAGAGGAACCUGUUCUUUAAAACGAUAUGCCACGAAAUAUUUCAUUUUCCCUUGUAUUCAGUUUGUAUACCGCCAUUAUUAAAUAGUGUUUUUAAAUGACUAUUGUAAUAUAUUUUUAUAAUAUAUUAGGUCAAGGUGCAGCCUAUGGGAAAGUAGUUAUGGGUUACAUUAUAUUAUAUAUUCGGAUAAGUUUUUGAAGAAGGAUUUUGAAGAAGGAUUUAAUUGUAAGUCAUUUUUAAAAAGUAAGAUUGAUAAUAGCUCUAGAAUAUGUACAUAUUGCCCGUCGCUCUCAUAA
This 507-nucleotide ribosomal RNA is filed under the name Periclimenaeus rastrifer. RNAcentral's name for it is "partial small subunit ribosomal RNA". Lineage: Eukaryota; Metazoa; Arthropoda; Malacostraca; Decapoda; Palaemonidae. The record is from RNAcentral.